UGGAAUGUAAAGUUUCAUAAUUAUUAUUGUAUAUUUUUCCUUUAUAAGGAGAAGUUCAUGUAGACUUUAUAAGUGAAAGAAUAGGAUCGGUAAGAAAAGAGAGUUUGAGAUGGGAGAGUAUGGUUACGCUUACCGUAGCAUUUCAACUUACAGUACCACGAGAAAUGGAGGAACACGCGAGCUUCUUGCUGCUGUUAAAAAAAAACCAUUAUUUCCCAAUAAUUACUCAGAGGAUGCCGUUACAAGGAAAAAAAUAGUACCAGUUGUUAGCAGGUCUUAUGAUGAACCUGCUGCAACUGGGAAAUAUCCUUCUUCCGGUUCAGAAGAUGAAUCUGAUGAUGAUGAUGAUAGGCAUCGUCGUCAAACAAACCCUGUUCAUAGCUCUCCUCGUAAGGUGCAGAAUCAUGAAGGUAGUCAUAAUCCUCAACGAUUGGGUCCCGUUGUUGACCGUGGCCGUCAUACCCCUCAGCUAACUGCUGAGGGGCACAGGCCAACUGGAGGUAGUAGCACCAUUAAUCAUGAUGGUGCUAAUUAUGUAGGAAACAAAGGACACAAGCUAAUUGGAAUUGAUCCAAUUGGGAAUCACAACUACGAUGGUGAUCGUCGUGCACCAAUAGUUGUAGGGGAUCCAAAAGAAGGACGCAAAUCGAUUGGAAUUAGUCCAAACAAUUAUGAUGGUAGUAAUGGCAAUGGUGGUGAGCGACGUGUAGUAAGGGAUCCAAAGGAAGGGUACAAGCCAAUUGGAAUUAGUCCAAUUAGGAGUGGCAACUAUGAUGGUACUAACGGAUAUGGUGGUGAUCGUCGUGCAAUAGGAGAUCCAAAGGAAGGGUACAAGACAAAGCCAAUUGGAAUUAGUCCAAUUAAGAGUGGCAACUAUGAUAGUAAUAAUGGCUAUGGUGGUGACCAUCGUGCACCGGCAGUAGGAGAUCCAAGUAAAGGGUACAAAUCAAUUGGAAUUAGUCCAAUUAGGAGUGACAACUAUGGUGGUACUAAUCACUAUGAUGGUUAUAAUAAUGGAUAUGGUGGUCAUAAUAUUGUGAAUUACAACAACAGAUCCAAUCCCAAUGGGCCAAAAAUUAGUUCAAACUGGAGUGCUGCACCGAGACAAGGGACCCAACUAAGUGAACCAAUUAAUGAUAUUGACAAGGCUAUGGAAUUGUUGAAGAUGGAAGCUGCAAAGCGUGAUCACCAGCGUAGCAUUAGCAACAACACUCAGUACUACGAUGGUAGUAUUAAUGCUUCUCCUACCGGAAGGCCUUAUGGUGGAAACUUUAUUCAAUCACAGCCACGCAUGUCACCAACACCUGUCACAUACAUUCCUGACGAUGAUGAUGAUGAUGAUUAUAAUUACUACACGAUGGAUAAUACAGGACGUUAUGGAGGACAUCAUAAUUCAAUCAUUGACAGUAGGGAGGCUGAGAAGAGGUUUAAAGGCACCAGGGUCUGAAUAUUAAUUAGCUACUCCUUUUUAUAAGAGACAGUUUAGUUAAAAUUUGGUAAGUUGUUGUAAGUACUUCAUAUCAAAAAGUAUUGAUUAUAUAUAACUAAUAAUUAGUAUAUAUAUAGUUGUCUGUAUUUAAGAUUAAUCUAUACCUUUUUAGUGUAUAGAUCAUCGAUCUAUACCUGUAUUGUUAUGUAUUGAUUAGAUAAGCAAAAAUAUAGUGUAAAAUAUAAGAUGUAAGGGUUGAAUGAAUAAAUAAAUAUGUGGAGUGUUUAUUAAGUAAUACCUCUUUCUUAAUUAUUGGUUGAUUGUUUGUUUUUAAUUUAUUUUUGUUGAAAAAUGGUGGUGCACUCAAGAAGC
This 1801-nucleotide long non-coding RNA is filed under the name Cicer arietinum (chickpea). Its description in RNAcentral is "long non-coding RNA (CARI_LNC000967)". The record is from RNAcentral. Lineage: Eukaryota; Viridiplantae; Streptophyta; Magnoliopsida; Fabales; Fabaceae.